GCCGCUCCGGGAGAUGGCAUGCCUCCCGUUCCCGCGACAGGGUCGAGGGAACCAACCGCCCCGCAUCACUGCAGGGGCUGAUGAUGCCUGCACCACC
RNAcentral lists this non-coding RNA (97 nucleotides) under Rhodanobacter fulvus. Its description in RNAcentral is "Fluoride sequence". It matches the Rfam family "Fluoride riboswitch aptamer (crcB RNA motif)". RNAcentral also lists the same sequence under 1 other name. Lineage: Bacteria; Pseudomonadati; Pseudomonadota; Gammaproteobacteria; Lysobacterales; Rhodanobacteraceae. The record is from RNAcentral.